CGGGGUGAGUAACGCGUGGAGAACCUGCCGUAUACUGGGGGAUAACACUUAGAAAUAGGUGCUAAUACCGCAUAAGCGCACAGCUUCGCAUGAAGCAGUGUGAAAAACUCCGGUGGUAUACGAUGGAUCCGCGUCUGAUUGGCUUGUUGGCGGGGUAAAGGCCCACCAAGGCGACGAUCAGUAGCCGGCCUGAGAGGGUGAACGGCCACAUUGGGACUGAGACACGGCCCAAACUCCUACGGAAGGCAGCAG
Molecule: ribosomal RNA, 252 nt
Filed under: uncultured bacterium
Lineage: Bacteria
Description: partial 16S ribosomal RNA
Rfam family: Bacterial small subunit ribosomal RNA
Source: RNAcentral